GACGAACGCUGGCGGCGUGCUUAACACAUGCAAGUCGAACGAAGAGCGAUGGAAGCUUGCUUCUAUCAAUCUUAGUGGCGAACGGGUGAGUAACGCGUAAUCAACCUGCCCUUCAGAGGGGGACAACAGUUGGAAACGACUGCUAAUGCCGCAUACGAUCUGACCUCGGCAUCGAGGAUAGAUGAAAGGUGGCCUCUAUUUAUAAGCUAUCACUGAAGGAGGGGAUUGCGUCUGGUUAGCUAGUUGGAGGGGUAACGGCCCACCAAGGCGAUGAUCAGUAGCCGGUCUGAGAGGAUGAACGGCCACAUUGGGACUGAGACACGGCCCAGACUCCUACGGGAGGCAGCAGUGGGGAAUCUUCCGCAAUGGACGAAAGUCUGACGGAGCAACGCCGCGUGAGUGAUGACGGCCUUCGGGUUGUAAAGCUCUGUUAAUCGGGACGAAAGGCCUUCUUGCGAAUAGUUAGAAGGAUUGACGGUACCGGAAUAGAAAGCCACGGCUAACUACGUG
This 510-nucleotide ribosomal RNA is filed under the name uncultured bacterium. RNAcentral's name for it is "partial 16S ribosomal RNA". It matches the Rfam family "Bacterial small subunit ribosomal RNA", at positions 28 to 507 of the family's 1533-position model. The record is from RNAcentral.